UUUUUUUUUUUUACUAGCUCCCCUUUCCCAGCGUUUUCCUCCCCUGGGAGAGAAAGUCCGAGCUUGCGCCUGCAUGGAGCCAUCAGAAAAUAAGCCAUCCAUCGGGCACCGCAGCCUCCUCGGGAAGUGAAGCAGAAGAAACAACCCUGCAGCAGCUCACGUCUGUUUAACCCUUCCUGGCAGCAGCUCUUCAGUUAAACAUCAGCUGUCCAUGGCAGAGCUUUAGGGAUUGUGUUCCUUCUCCAAAUUCUGGGCUCUAAGGAUGCUGAAGGUAGAAGCAGUAUUACCUCCCCAGUCCAACGCACACAAGCAGUGCGUGCACUGUGCUGUGAACUACAGGGCAGCCUGCUUUGAACUUGCUGUGACAGCCUCGGUUAUCCCAACCCUCCGCCUGCUCCAGCUCACGUAAUGCUGACCAGAAAGUGGGAAACACCACUAGCAGGCUCUGGCUCUGCCACCUCACUCCCCUGGGCAGGGCUUUCCCUCAUCAGCAUCCCCAGGAACAUGAUGAAGUCACUCUUGGGAUGAGGCACUGCCCAGAGCAAGCCCAUGCGAUGGAAUCAGAGGUUGCAGUUGUUGUUUAUUAUCAAUAAAGUAAAUUAAGU
Molecule: long non-coding RNA, 605 nt
Filed under: Strigops habroptila (Kakapo)
Lineage: Eukaryota; Metazoa; Chordata; Aves; Psittaciformes; Psittacidae
Description: lncRNA (ENSSHBG00005018198.1)
Source: RNAcentral